GGAGUAGCUGCCGGGGCUUACAUUCUUACCUUAUUUGCUAUGAAGUAUAGACAACGUGUACUUGGUUUGAUACUUGUUUCACCUCUAUGCAAAGAACCAUCUUGGACUGAGUGGUUGUGCAACAAGGUCAUGUCAAAUUUACUCUAUUUUUGUGGCAUGUGCGGGGUGGCAAAGGAAAUGUUGCUGAAGCGGUACUAUAGCAAGGUAUACUUUGUGCAUCCAAAUUCC
Long non-coding RNA from Arachis duranensis, 228 nucleotides. RefSeq lists it as uncharacterized. Lineage: Eukaryota; Viridiplantae; Streptophyta; Magnoliopsida; Fabales; Fabaceae. The record is from RefSeq and is a predicted model, not a curated record. The transcript has 3 exons.